AUGGAAUUGAGUUUACCUCAUACACUUCAUCUUUUUAAUAUCUUUCGAGAGUAUGAUGGGAAGGAAAAUUGUGCCAAAGUGUUAGAAGAAGAAUGCAUUAAAAUGUUUGGCACUAAAUCUUUGAAUGAUGAGCAUGAUUGCAAUGUUGUUAGUAUGAACUCUUUGAAUAUCCAUAGUACUAAUGAUGAUUGCACUAGUUAUGAUGAAAAUGUCUCCUAUAAACAUGUCAAUUUUUGUGGAGUGCAUUGGGUUUGCAAGUACACACCAAAUAGGGAAGAUAGAUAUUGCAAGAGGCAUAAGCAUUUAGAAACUAAAUUGUUGCAAGAAAGGCUAGAUGUUUGUGCUGAAAAUUUAAAUUUUCUUAGCCGUACUUGUGAACUUUGCAAUGAACGGGGUCAUUUAACUAUUCGAUACAAAUUGUUUCAUGAUCUAAUCGUGUCCAAAAAUUGUGAUGACUUGAUUUCCCUUGCACAUUAUAAUGAACUUAGUUUGCUUAUGGGCUAUGAAGAAAUGAAACGUAUAACUAACUAUCUUCCAGAAUUUGCCCGUUAUAAACUUCUUAAUUUUGAUCUAGAGGAAAUUUAUAUGUAUUGUGCAGUGAAUUGCAUUGAAAAUCCUUAUAUUUCCAAUUACAUAAAGAAAAGAAAGCAAAUAGAAGAUGAAGAGAACACUAAUGAAAGGGAAGAGACUUCCCAAUAUCCUCCUAUUAUUUCUUAUGAUGAAUCAUGUAACGAGGAGAAGCUUUCUAUUCAACCAAUCUCAUUAAUAAGGAGCUCCAAAAAGAGGAUUGAACCCACACAUGAUGUGAAGAAGAAAAACAAAAGACGGAGAAGCAAAGGUAGAAAGGUAUCUCCCCCAAAUGAUGUUGCUCCAAUUACUCAUCGUGAUGAUGAUAAUUGCUAUACUAUUGGUGCUAUCCAUACUAUUAAUGAUGAGAGUGAUUAUGCUUAUGAUAUGAAAAGGCCCAAGCUUGGGGAUGCUAUGUUUGAUGAAGAUGAUGUUUUUGAGAAUAUAUUUGCUGCAAUUAAUGUUUGUCCCAAGCUUGGAGAUGCUAUGUUUAAUGAAGAUGGUAUUUUUAGCCUCCCAAGUUUUGAUAUGCAUAGUUGUUAUGAUGAUAGCAUGCCUUCUACCUAUGAUGAUUAUAUUGAUGAAAGUGGGUUUGGAAGAGUGUCAACUUUAGGAAGUAAUGAUCCCACUAUUUUGGAGGAUGUUGAAUCUUAUAAUAUUUAUAAAAGUGGAUUUGGAGAGGUCAUGACUUUAUUUAGUGAUGAGUCCACUAUCUUGGAAGAGGUUUCAAUCAAUUAUGAUGAGAACAAAGUUGCUACUUAUGAUGAUUAUUGUGAUGAAACUUAUGCUAUAAAAAGUAGUGAUGAUUAUAUUUAUAAAACUUGUCAUGAUUAUGAUUACCCUUUUUCUGAACAUUACUCUUUUAAUGUGGAAACAAUUUAUAGUAUUCAAGUUUCUUAUGAUACUCCCACUAUUCCGAAUGAGAAGAAUUUUGCUUAUGUGGAGAGUAGUAAAAUUUCUAUGCAAGUAGAUCAUGAAAAGAAUGCUUUAGGUGCUGGUUAUAUUGUUGAAUUCAUUCAUGAUGCUACUGAAAGUUAUUAUGAGGGAGGAACAUAUGCUUGUAGGAAUUGCAAUAAUAUCAAGUUUCCUCUCUAUGUGCUUAAAGUUUUGAAGUUAUGCUUGUUUUGCCUUCCUAUGCUAGUUGAUUAUUGUUCCCAUAAGUUGUUUGCUCACAAAAUCCCUAUGCAUAGGAAGUGGGUUAGAUUUAAAUGUGCUAGUAAUAUUCUUCAUGAUGCUCUCUUCAUGUUUCAAUUCUUAUGUCUUAUGUGA
Molecule: ribosomal RNA, 1836 nt
Filed under: Triticum aestivum (bread wheat)
Lineage: Eukaryota; Viridiplantae; Streptophyta; Magnoliopsida; Poales; Poaceae
Description: partial small subunit ribosomal RNA
Source: RNAcentral